UACAGAGGGGGCAAGCGUUGUUCGGAAUUACUGGGCGUAAAGGGCGCGUAGGCGGCCUUCUAAGUCGAACGUGAAAUCCCCGGGCUCAACCCGGGAACUGCGUCCGAUACUGGAAGGCUUGAAUCCGGGAGAGGGAUGCGGAAUUCCAGGUGUAGCAGUGAAAUGCGUAGAUAUCAAGUGGAACACCAGUGGCGAAGGCGAGUCCCUGGACAAUACCUGACACUGAGGCACGAAAGCUAGGGGAGCAAACAGG
This 253-nucleotide ribosomal RNA is filed under the name uncultured bacterium. Its description in RNAcentral is "partial 16S ribosomal RNA". It matches the Rfam family "Bacterial small subunit ribosomal RNA", at positions 524 to 776 of the family's 1533-position model. The record is from RNAcentral.